RNAcentral lists this ribosomal RNA (342 nucleotides) under Triatoma costalimai. RNAcentral describes it as "partial 12S ribosomal RNA". The record is from RNAcentral. Lineage: Eukaryota; Metazoa; Arthropoda; Insecta; Hemiptera; Reduviidae.
CAUAAACAGUAAUUUGGUAAUCUUAGUAUUAAUAGUUAUGAUCUUUAAAUUAAAAGAAUUUGGCGGUAAUUUAGUCUGUUCAGAGGAAUCUGCCCUGUAAUCGAUGUUCCACGGUAAAUUUUACUUUAUCUGGGCUUGUAUAUCUCUGUCAUUGAAUGUCCUAUUAGGGUAUUUUCUUUAAUUUUUAAUGUGCAAAAUGUCAGGUCAAGGUGCAGCAAUGGUAAAGAAGAGGUGGAUUACAUUAAAUAUAUUUAUGGAUAGUGAAUAUGAAAAUUUUCUGGAAAUUGGAUUUGAAAGUAAUUUCUAUUAGAAUAUAGAUUUGAUUUUAGCUCUAAAUUAUGC